Molecule: ribosomal RNA, 372 nt
Filed under: uncultured organism
Description: bacterial SSU rRNA
Rfam family: Bacterial small subunit ribosomal RNA
Source: RNAcentral
CGAGGGGUGCAAGCGUUGCUCGGAAUCAUUGGGCGUAAAGCGAGCGCGGAUGGUCUUGUAAGUCAGGAGUGAAAGCCCCGGGCUCAACCCAGGAAGUGCUUUGAUACUGCGAGACUUGAAUGUGGGAGAGGGUGCUAGAAUACCUAGUGUAGUGGUGAAAUACGUAGAUAUUAGGUGGAACACCGGUGGGGGAAGCCGGGUGCCUGGCCCAACAUUGACAUUUAGGCUCGAAAGCGUGGGGAUCAAACAGGAUUAGAUACCCUGGUAGUCCACGCCUUAAACUAUGAAUACUUGGUGUUGGAGGUAUUGACCCCUUCAGUGCCGAAGCUAACGCGUUAAGUAUUCCGCCUGGGAAGUACGGUCGCAAGAUUA